This 253-nucleotide ribosomal RNA is filed under the name uncultured bacterium. RNAcentral describes it as "partial 16S ribosomal RNA". It matches the Rfam family "Bacterial small subunit ribosomal RNA", at positions 524 to 776 of the family's 1533-position model. The record is from RNAcentral.
UACGAAGGGGGCUAGCGUUGCUCGGAAUCACUGGGCGUAAAGCGCACGUAGGCGGCUUUUUAAGUCAGAGGUGAAAUCCUGGAGCUCAACUCCAGAACUGCCUUUGAUACUGAAAGUCUUGAGUACGGGAGAGGUGAGUGGAACUGCGAGUGUAGAGGUGAAAUUCGUAGAUAUUCGCAAGAACACCAGUGGCGAAGGCGGCUCACUGGCCCGUAACUGACGCUGAGGCACGAAAGCGUGGGGAGCAAACAGG